Ictalurus punctatus (channel catfish) is the source of this 2746-nucleotide long non-coding RNA. Lineage: Eukaryota; Metazoa; Chordata; Actinopteri; Siluriformes; Ictaluridae. The record is from Ensembl.
GAAUGUGAAUAAAUAGCAGAGUGCAGUAAACGCUCGACGUUCUACAGGGAAACUUCACCUUUAAGCUACAACACAAGGACACACACCAUAUGGCCACACACACACACACACACACACACACACACACACACACACACGACAAUCGCCCUUGGUGUUUAUCUCUAAAAUGUCUACAUGUGACACCGGGGUCAGUGGGGUCAUAAACACUCACCACUCUACUGUACGACCGCCAAAGAACUGAAAGAAAGAACUGAGCGAAUGAACAAAAGAAAGAAGCGACGGAAGAACAAAGUAAAUGAGAAACCCGAGUGAAGGAACCGAACGAGAACCGCGCAAAUGAAGAAAAGAAAGAACGCAAUGACGGAAUAAUUCGAAUGAAAGAACGGAAUGAAAGCACGAACAAAAUAACUAGAAGAACCCAAGGAAAGAAAGAAAGAAAGAGAGGAAUUGUGGGUAAAUGUUUCGUUAGUACACUAGUCACACUGCUCAAGCGUUUCUGUUUUUGUUAAACGAGGAACGCAGGAACAUCUCGCCGAUUGAAAUCCACCUCCUGCUCAUUUGUUUGUUCUUGAACUCCAGCGUGGACAGAAAAGGAAAAGGAAACUCUAAACACAGCUACGAAAGCAACACACGGCUCGCACCGUAACACCAUAACGCCACACCGAGAGCUUAAACGGAGAAACCCGUUAAAGGGAACACGCCACAGGUGACACUGGUAAAGUAACAAGCACACCAGAACAGGAAACAGCGACCAUAUAAGGACAAGUGGAGCGCUAAACGGGAGGAACCGUGAACGAAGAAGCCGGCAGGACGACAGAACCGAACUGUGACACAUUUAUUAUCAGACGUAUAUUAAACAUCUGUAACCAUAUCUACUUGCUGCUAUACAACAUUAUAUUUAUUUAUUAUAAAUUUAUUAUAUUUCUACAGAUGAAUAUUAACCUUUUUUUUUUUUAAAUAGUUCAAAUAUAAAUCCUCUUGGAUUAACACACGUACCUUUAAGCUUUCUUUUUAUGUUUUUUUUUUUUUUAAAGCAAUUAAUUUAGAACACGCUCUAAAAUAAACACACACACACACACACACACACACACACACGGAGAUGACUGACGGUUGUUUUGCUGCCGAAAAGCAAAGUAAGAACCGAUUUCUGGCAACCGAGGAUACAUUUUUAAAUCUCAAAAUAACUUCCCCGCUCUCGGCUGUUGGCCUGCAGUGUGUGUGUGUGUGUGUGUGCGUGUGUGUGUGUGUGUGUGUGUGAGAGUGUGUGAGAGUGUGUGUGAGUGCUUAAUCAGAGUUAUGUACAGCUCAAAGGAGGAUUAGGCCAAACGCCACACCCCGAGGCCCAGCGUGUACCACUUAAAUCCGUUACAAUUAAAAAUAAACACAAACAAAAACACCAACAAACCGACGAACCGACGAACCGACGAACCCCUUCUCACUUCAUGUGUCUUUUCUGUUGCUCGUAUUAAAUAAAUAAAUAAAUAAAUAACUUCACAGUGGAGCUUCAGACCGCUCGAAUAGUUUUACACUGUUAGUGUCUCUCUCUCUCUCUCUCUCUCUCUCUCUCUCUCUAUCUGUCUCUGUGUCUCUCUCUGUGUCUGUCUUUCUCUCUCUCUGUGUGUCUUUCUCUCUCUCUCUGUGUCUUUCUCUAUCUCUCUCUCUGUGUCUGUCUUUCUCUAUCUCUCUCUGUGUGUCUGUCUUUCUCUAUCUCUCUCUGUGUGUCUUUAUCUCUCUCUCUCUGUCUCUCUUUCUCUAUCUCUCUCUCUGUGUCUCUGUCUUUAUCUCUCUCUCUCUGUGUCUCUCUUUCUCUAUCUCUCUGUGUCUCUGUCUUUAUCUCUCUCUCUAUCUCUCUGUCUCUCUUUCUCUAUCUCUCUCUCUCUCUGUGUCUCUCUUUCUCUAUCUCUCUCUCUCUGUGUCUGUCUUUCUCUCUCUAUCUCUCUCUGUGUCUCUUUCUCUAUCUCUCUCUCUGUGUCUCUCUUUCUCUAUCUCUCUCUCUAUCUCUCUCUAUGUCUCUCUUUCUCUAUCUCUCUCUGUGUCUCUUUCUCUCUCUCUGUCUUUAUCUCUAUCUCUCUCUCUGUGUCUCUCUGUCUUUCUCUAUCUCUCUCUGUGUGUCUCUCUCUGUCUCUCCCUCUCUCUCUCCCUCUCUCUCUCAUGUCAGCUGGUACAGAAUGAGUUCAUACCUUUAUCUCUCUCUGUCUUUCUCUAUCUCUCUCUGUCUCUCCCUCUCUCUCUCCCUCUCUCUCUCAUGUCAGCUGGUACAGAAUGAGUUCAUACCUUUAGGUCAGAUGUUAUUGUUUAAAACGUCUGAUUAAACGUGUACACAGUUACACAAGUAAAGCAGUCUCAUUUAGCGGACUCUUUCGUACGGAGGACUAGUAAUAAUCUUACAUCUGGCCACUGUUUGGUGACUCUAAAACAGCGGCUCCUUGCUAAAACUGAAGAUACGUAAACUCCUGAGGAGCACGCUUUGUGUAAGAGGCGUUCAGCACUUUGGCACUGUGGUUUCCUGAAAGGCUUUGAAUUUGAAUUUUAUAUAACAACAUAAAAUAUUCGAAUUGAACGUGUCAUGCUGAUUUAUUAACGAAUACACGACGUGUACAGGAAAUGUGGUUUGGUUUAUUCUCCGGUGUUAUUUUUUUCCUCGGUCGCCUCGGUACAUUUCCCCGAAUCGCGCUUAACAUUCAAGUGCGUUUAAGUAAGCGCUUUUCUCCGAACACCACACAACGCAAACGCUCCCUGCAAAAGC